GAUGAACGCUGGCGGCGUGCCUAAUACAUGCAAGUCGAGCGAACAGACGAGGAGCUUGCUCCUCUGACGUUAGCGGCGGACGGGUGAGUAACACGUGGAUAACCUACCUAUAAGACUGGGAUAACUUCGGGAAACCGGAGCUAAUACCGGAUAAUAUAUUGAACCGCAUGGUUCAAUAGUGAAAGACGGUUUUGCUGUCACUUAUAGAUGGAUCCGCGCCGCAUUAGCUAGUUGGUAAGGUAACGGCUUACCAAGGCAACGAUGCGUAGCCGACCUGAGAGGGUGAUCGGCCACACUGGAACUGAGACACGGUCAAGACUCCUACGGGAGGCAGCAGUAGGGAAUCUGCCGCAAUGGGCGAAAGCAUGACGGAGCAACGCCGCGUGAGUGAUGAAGGUCUUCGGAUCGUAAAACUCUGUUAUUAGGGAAGAACAAAUGUGUAAGUAACUAUGCACGUAUUGACGGUACCUAAUCAGAAAGCCACGGCUAACUACGUG
RNAcentral lists this ribosomal RNA (497 nucleotides) under uncultured bacterium. RNAcentral describes it as "partial 16S ribosomal RNA". It matches the Rfam family "Bacterial small subunit ribosomal RNA", at positions 28 to 507 of the family's 1533-position model. The record is from RNAcentral.